UUGCUUCCAAUUGCUUCUACGGUGUGCUGGUGACGGGAGGGGAACAACCACCAUCUCUCUAUAUGUUUACCCAUUUACCAGGAAAUAUGUUUAUACUGUUUUCCAAUCAGGAUUUACCACAAGCCGGGAGUUCCACACCUAAUGACCAGGCCAAACCCAGCCCACUGUCAACAGAGAAAAGUCGGCCUCAAACAUGAGAGAUUUUAAAUCACAAUGGACGUUCGAGGAGCAUGACUGCCAGCACUGUGAGCAGCAGGGCUGUCUCCAGCCGUCGACAGGUGUCAGAAUGAGACAUGCCGACUGGAUUAAACAAUCAGACCAGGGCCUGGACCUGCGGGUGUCCAUCAUACUAAGCCUGGGGAGAAGUGAGUGUCCCAACAAGAAGUCCAAGAACUUCCUGUAAGAGAAGAGGGGGAAAUGGAAGUGCAAAUGCCCCCUACCCAGCAGAAGCGUGAGACCCCCAGUCUUGGAGAGCCUGGGGACCAGCAAGCCGAGACCCGAAGAAUGA
RNAcentral lists this long non-coding RNA (508 nucleotides) under Sus scrofa (pig). RNAcentral's name for it is "lncRNA (ENSSSCG00040013602.1)". Lineage: Eukaryota; Metazoa; Chordata; Mammalia; Artiodactyla; Suidae. The record is from RNAcentral.